RNAcentral lists this long non-coding RNA (1340 nucleotides) under Apteryx rowi (Okarito brown kiwi). RNAcentral describes it as "lncRNA (ENSARWG00000007280.1)". The record is from RNAcentral. Lineage: Eukaryota; Metazoa; Chordata; Aves; Apterygiformes; Apterygidae.
CCGCAUCCCGCCCAUCGACGGGACCGGCCUCGGCGACGGGGCCCGGCUGCCCCGGGGCCGCCUCAGCCCGGCGCCUCCAGGCCGGCACAGGCAGAGGAGGCCACGGUGUGGGACAGGCGCAGGUUUGGGGGCUCGGCGGCGGCAGGAGGCCGGGACGGAGAGGUUUGCGAGAGGAUUAGGGAGUUAUUUGUGGCACGCAGAAUCACUUCCUUCCUACCCCCCCUCCCCCUUUCCUCUGCCGAGGGGAAGAAAACGUGGAUGCUGGAGCACGGCGUCCCAGCCAAAGAGCUAUUUUAGUAUUGGCAUCUCCCGUCGCCGCACGGCUUUCCCCACCCACAGGACGGCAUGGUCCAGGAAGUGCCCGGGAGCAGCACCACAGUCCAGAGGAGGAGAGAGCCCCAGAGAGCAGCGUGGAGGGAGAGCCUACCUCUUUAUAGUUCUGUUCUGUUUCAUGGUGAGGAAAACUCAACAUGUACAGUACUCUGCAAAGCAAUAGAGAAAUGUUUAGGAUAUGCCAGGAACAGGCAAAGAAGCAAGACGCAAGCUCCAUGCAUGCAGAGUCACUGCACCGCGGCGAUCCUCGCAGGACGGCUUUGCCCUUCGCACCGGGUGUUGGGCCGAGAGACUUACGCAUUUGAGGAGGAUGCAAAACCUCGUGCAAAGUCUGCUUGGUUGCAUCUGCACUCCGGUUUGCAGGGCACGCAGAUACCUUUAGGAGCGGUUGUUAAGCAGACGUUUAUUUGUGUUUGGUGUGUGUUCUGCGUGCUACAACUGCGGGGCACUUGGGACCUGUUUUUCCUGAUUGUGGUACCCUUCCCGUGGGGCAGGGAACUGCCUGCACGCCCAGCAGUUGUUACAGAUAUAAUGAAGUAGUAACAUAUAGCCAUAAUUCUUAAGGCACAACUCUUAAGGUAGCAACAUCACCCAAAAAGACACAGUCUUCCUUUUCACUUAAUUGCUAUUAUCUUUGUAGAUGUUUCCAAUAGGGAACAUGGAUUCUAGCUUGCCACUUCCUCUUAACUUUGUAAUAAGCCGUGGUGUUUGCGUUAAAGACAAUCCAUGAAGUCCAUGGGAGUUUGGUUUCAGUAAGUGGCGAAUGAAAGCACAGAGGGACACAGCCUCAACCUUGCAAAUACUUAUGAGCUCGCUUUCCAGCGGGACAUGCGCACUUCCCCUGGUGACGUUCCCAGUUGGCUCAGAUCAAUGGUCAAACUCUUCUUGACUUUAGGAGGGUCACAAAUCAGUAGGGCUGCCCCAAUUCAGAAUUAAAUCCCAUGACAAGUGUUUCCAGGCUGCAAUAUAGCUGUUAUAAUUAAUAAAACAAGACACUAAAUGCUACA